Molecule: ribosomal RNA, 1437 nt
Filed under: uncultured organism
Description: SSU rRNA
Rfam family: Bacterial small subunit ribosomal RNA
Source: RNAcentral
CUAUCUACAGGCUUAACACAUGCAAGUCGAGGGGCAGCAUGGUCUUAGCUUGCUAAGACUGAUGGCGACCGGCGCACGGGUGAGUAACACGUAUCCAACCUGCCGUCUACUCUUGGACAGCCUUCUGAAAGGAAGAUUAAUACAAGAUGGCAUCAUGAGUCCGCAUGUUCACAUGAUUAAGGGUAUUCCGGUAGACGAUGGGGAUGCGUUCCAUUAGAUAGUAGGCGGGGUAACGGCCCACCUAGUCUUCGAUGGAUAGGGGUUCUGAGAGGAAGGUCCCCCACAUUGGAACUGAGACACGGUCCAAACUCCUACGGGAGGCAGCAGUGAGGAAUAUUGGUCAAUGGGCGAGAGCCUGAACCAGCCAAGUAGCGUGAAGGAUGACUGCCCUAUGGGUUGUAAACUUCUUUUAUAAAGGAAUAAAGUCGGGUAUGCAUACCCGUUUGCAUGUACUUUAUGAAUAAGGAUCGGCUAACUCCGUGCCAGCAGCCGCGGUAAUACGGAGGAUCCGAGCGUUAUCCGGAUUUAUUGGGUUUAAAGGGAGCGUAGAUGGAUGUUUAAGUCAGUUGUGAAAGUUUGCGGCUCAACCGUAAAAUUGCAGUUGAUACUGGAUAUCUUGAGUGCAGUUGAGGCAGGCGGAAUUCGUGGUGUAGCGGUGAAAUGCUUAGAUAUCACGAAGAACUCCGAUUGCGAAGGCGGCCUGCUAAGCUGCAACUGACAUUGAGGCUCGAAAGUGUGGGUAUCAAACAGGAUUAGAUACCCUGGUAGUCCACACGGUAAACGAUGAAUACUCGCUGUUUGCGAUAUACUGCAAGCGGCCAAGCGAAAGCGUUAAGUAUUCCACCUGGGGAGUACGCCGGCAACGGUGAAACUCAAAGGAAUUGACGGGGGCCCGCACAAGCGGAGGAACAUGUGGUUUAAUUCGAUGAUACGCGAGGAACCUUACCCGGGCUUAAAUUGCAGAUGAAUUACGGUGAAAGCCGUAAGCCGCAAGGCAUCUGUGAAGGUGCUGCAUGGUUGUCGUCAGCUCGUGCCGUGAGGUGUCGGCUUAAGUGCCAUAACGAGCGCAACCCUUGUUGUCAGUUACUAACAGGUUCCGCUGAGGACUCUGACAAGACUGCCAUCGUAAGAUGUGAGGAAGGUGGGGAUGACGUCAAAUCAGCACGGCCCUUACGUCCGGGGCUACACACGUGUUACAAUGGGGGGUACAGAGGGCCGCUACCACGCGAGUGGAUGCCAAUCCCCAAAACCUCUCUCAGUUCGGACUGGAGUCUGCAACCCGACUCCACGAAGCUGGAUUCGCUAGUAAUCGCGCAUCAGCCACGGCGCGGUGAAUACGUUCCCGGGCCUUGUACACACCGCCCGUCAAGCCAUGGGAGCCGGGGGUACCUGAAGUGCGUAACCGCGAGGAGCGCCCUAGGGUAAAACUGGUGACUG